UUGGAACUCAUUGAGUACUGUCAGGCCCUCAAUUCAGACCAACUGUACUUGGAACGAGUGGCUUAAAGGCAACAUCCAGAGCUUUCCAAAAAAAUCACAAAAUCUCUAUGUACUUAGUUUUCUAUUUUUUUUUUCUUUGGGAAAUCUGGUUUUUGAGGAACUCUCUUAUCUUGAGUCUCAUAACUGUCAUGUUAGCCUGGAGAAAAGGAUCAUCAACAAAGUCGGGGAAUUUUUUGCCCUUACUGGUCGUCUCCGUCGCUACCCUAUCCCAGAUCUACAUCCUGUUUCUUAUCACCUGCUCCAGGCGUUAUAAAAAUCAAUAUAGACGGUUCUUCUAGUGAAAAUUCAAGUUAAGAACGAGUCUGUCCAGUCUUGAGAAAUCAUAGGGGCAAAUGGAUUCGAGGCCCCUUCAAACACAUUCUGAUGGUCACUAUCUCUUGCGUUUGAGCUUAAUAUUUCUCAUAUCAAAAUUGAAAGCGAUGUUGAAAUUGCCAUUAAGUCGAUUACUAAUGAUAAAAUCUCUAAUCAUGCUCUCUCUACUCUUGUUAUUGAUUGCAGGUUGUUUAUGUGUAGAUUUGUCUCAACCUCUAUCAAGCAUACCUAUAGGGAGGGGAACCAAUGUAUGGAUUGGUUAGUUCGGUUAGGGAGCAACUUUCAACAAGACAAUCUUAGAACUUCUUGUAAUAGGAAUAUUUUGUGUUUUUGUUUGAAACCCCAUCUUGUAUUGAGGCUCUGUUGAAACCUGAUGCGUACAUCACUGUUAUGUACGGAAUUUAUUUUAAUUAAUCUAAAAGUUGUCUUUUGAUAAUAAAAAAAGAAAUAUU
RNAcentral lists this long non-coding RNA (824 nucleotides) under Gossypium raimondii (Peruvian cotton). RNAcentral describes it as "long non-coding RNA (GRAI_LNC002288)". Lineage: Eukaryota; Viridiplantae; Streptophyta; Magnoliopsida; Malvales; Malvaceae. The record is from RNAcentral.